UCUCCAGGGCCCCAGAGAAGCCAACGGCUUUGAUGCAGGGCACAUAGCAUCAGCUUCACAUAUGUAUAGCUCACUCCAAGCACAAUUGUUUCCCUUUUAAAUGUGGCAUCAGGAGGGACAGACAAGACUUAGAGAGAUGGCUAGCGGUCAAAACAGAGAGAUAUAGGAAGAAAAACAUGGCCUAAGGUCAGGGACUUGUUGGACUGGGAUCAUCUGUGGUCACCUAUUUGUAAGUUGAUGUUCUUAGCGCAUAUGUUCCUGAAUAAAGAAAAGAACAUUUUUAUGAUGGUGUCCUUGGAAAGCUGUCAGAGUGAAUAGGCAGAAUGCCACAGAGCCAGGACCCUCUGCUCUUCUUCAGGUUCUUGAAAGUUUCCAAGCCCAUGCAUAACACAGUAGAGCCAUGAAAGAAGAAAUCAUUUGCUCAAUGACUGUGAGUUCAUGGAUCUAUGAACUACUUCUCAGAGCCUCGUGGCAGAGGAUGGGAGUGAGAUGGAGAGAGUAAGGAUUUGCUGUGGUGAAUGAAGCUGGCUGAGGAAAAAGAGAGGUAUUACCCACAAUGCAUUCCAAACUUCUCUUGCAAGCUGGUUAUUAAGAAUCUGAAACGAGUGAUCGUGAUGGCUGAAGCCUACACCUAGCCAGUGAUCCCUAAAAGGUUGCUGCAAUUUGUUUCAAGAACUCAAGUCACAAUCUGGAAUCUGUCUUAUGAUGUUUCACAGUUAUUUAUGCGAAUAUGUCACCCAUCACAGCAUCUGUGUGGAGGUCAGAGGACAGCGUAAAGGUUCAGCUGGACCUGUUCUAAGGUCAGGAUUUUACCAUCAACAACAUCAGCAGUCCCGGCAUCACCAAGAACUGGCCUGGUAGGAGAUGUGCUUUCCUGGACUCUCAAGCGCAGAAGGAUGCAGUAUGCUUCCCAAGCAUCUGAACUAAGCAAGCCUUCCCCAGUCCCAACCCCUCCCUGAAACAAGUCAAGCACAGGCCUCAAAAGCAAAUAUGACCACUUGCUGUCUCUGUGUCUCCAUGUUUAAUAGCCUAGCCUUUGAAGUGUGAGGAAACACUUUUAACUGCAGCACACAUGGCCAUUCUCCAGAACUCCAUAAGGAAUGGAAUGACUGCUUGGUCUAAGGAUUAACUGGUUUAUCGAGCUCAGGAUCCACAAAGUCAACUCUUUUCCCCAAGCCACAGCAAAGCAAACUGAACAAUAAAACUGAAGCCGAGAGAUGGUUUGGUUGCUAAUGUGCUUGCCUUACAAACGGGAUGACUUGGCUUCAUCUCGAGAGCCCGUAGUAAAAAGCCAGGCACAGUGAAGUGCGCUCAAAAGUCCAGAGCU
Molecule: non-coding RNA, 1327 nt
Organism: Myodes glareolus (Bank vole)
Lineage: Eukaryota; Metazoa; Chordata; Mammalia; Rodentia; Cricetidae
Source: RefSeq, a predicted model, not a curated record